CUUUAUAGGUAAAGCCUCAUCUCCCCUUGAUAACUUCAGAAUCUUAAUCCUAUUCAGACUUUUUGUCAAGCAAUUUACAAGAUUCAAUUCAGAUCUGAUACAACUCAAAAUAAUAAUAUCAUAAGAAGUUAACAGUAUAACAAACUUCUGUCUCAACUUAAUAUAUCUACUAGCCUUAAAAUUUAUCCUUUUUUUUUUACAAAAAUUAAUUACAACCUGAGAGUCACGCUGAACAGAAAUAAAUAAAAUCAGAGAAGAAAUUAAGAAAUCGAUGACAAUAGAUUGAGCUACUUGUUUCCAAGACAAGUAGUGUCAAGGGUAACUAAUUCGAUCUCAAUGGUACUUCUAAUUAUUAUAGUUUGUUUGACGG
RNAcentral lists this long non-coding RNA (370 nucleotides) under Ananas comosus (pineapple). RNAcentral describes it as "long non-coding RNA (ACOM_LNC010854)". The record is from RNAcentral. Lineage: Eukaryota; Viridiplantae; Streptophyta; Magnoliopsida; Poales; Bromeliaceae.